This 1700-nucleotide ribosomal RNA is filed under the name Salmonella enterica. Its description in RNAcentral is "partial 23S ribosomal RNA". It matches the Rfam family "Bacterial large subunit ribosomal RNA", at positions 614 to 2297 of the family's 2925-position model. RNAcentral also lists the same sequence under 1 other name. Lineage: Bacteria; Pseudomonadati; Pseudomonadota; Gammaproteobacteria; Enterobacterales; Enterobacteriaceae. The record is from RNAcentral.
AAUGGGUCAGCGACUUAUAUUCUGUAGCAAGGUUAACCGUAUAGGGGAGCCGUAGGGAAACCGAGUCUUAACCGGGCGUUAAGUUGCAGGGUAUAGACCCGAAACCCGGUGAUCUAGCCAUGGGCAGGUUGAAGGUUGGGUAACACUAACUGGAGGACCGAACCGACUAAUGUUGAAAAAUUAGCGGAUGACCUGUGGCUGGGGGUGAAAGGCCAAUCAAACCGGGAGAUAGCUGGUUCUCCCCGAAAGCUAUUUAGGUAGCGCCUCGUGAAUUCAUCUCCGGGGGUAGAGCACUGUUUCGGCUAGGGGGCCAUCCCGGCUUACCAACCCGAUGCAAACUGCGAAUACCGGAGAAUGUUAUCACGGGAGACACACGGCGGGUGCUAACGUCCGUCGUGAAGAGGGAAACAACCCAGACCGCCAGCUAAGGUCCCAAAGUCAUGGUUAAGUGGGAAACGAUGUGGGAAGGCCCAGACAGCCAGGAUGUUGGCUUAGAAGCAGCCAUCAUUUAAAGAAAGCGUAAUAGCUCACUGGUCGAGUCGGCCUGCGCGGAAGAUGUAACGGGGCUAAACCAUGCACCGAAGCUGCGGCAGCGACGCUGAUGCGUUGUUGGGUAGGGGAGCGUUCUGUAAGCCUGUGAAGGUGGCCUGUGAGGGUUGCUGGAGGUAUCAGAAGUGCGAAUGCUGACAUAAGUAACGAUAAAGCGGGUGAAAAGCCCGCUCGCCGGAAGACCAAGGGUUCCUGUCCAACGUUAAUCGGGGCAGGGUGAGUCGACCCCUAAGGCGAGGCCGAAAGGCGUAGUCGAUGGGAAACGGGUUAAUAUUCCCGUACUUGGUGUUACUGCGAAGGGGGGACGGAGAAGGCUAUGUUGGCCGGGCGACGGUUGUCCCGGUUUAAGCGUGUAGGUGUGUGUUCCAGGUAAAUCCGGUUCACUUUAACACUGAGGCGUGAUGACGAGGCACUACGGUGCUGAAGCAACAAAUGCCCUGCUUCCAGGAAAAGCCUCUAAGCAUCAGGUAACAUCAAAUCGUACCCCAAACCGACACAGGUGGUCAGGUAGAGAAUACCAAGGCGCUUGAGAGAACUCGGGUGAAGGAACUAGGCAAAAUGGUGCCGUAACUUCGGGAGAAGGCACGCUGACACGUAGGUGAAGUGAUUUACUCAUGGAGCUGAAGUCAGUCGAAGAUACCAGCUGGCUGCAACUGUUUAUUAAAAACACAGCACUGUGCAAACACGAAAGUGGACGUAUACGGUGUGACGCCUGCCCGGUGCCGGAAGGUUAAUUGAUGGGGUCAGCGCAAGCGAAGCUCCUGAUCGAAGCCCCGGUAAACGGCGGCCGUAACUAUAACGGUCCUAAGGUAGCGAAAUUCCUUGUCGGGUAAGUUCCGACCUGCACGAAUGGCGUAAUGAUGGCCAGGCUGUCUCCACCCGAGACUCAGUGAAAUUGAACUCGCUGUGAAGAUGCAGUGUACCCGCGGCAAGACGGAAAGACCCCGUGAACCUUUACUAUAGCUUGACACUGAACAUUGAGCCUUGAUGUGUAGGAUAGGUGGGAGGCUUUGAAGCGUGGACGCCAGUCUGCAUGGAGCCGGCCUUGAAAUACCACCCUUUAAUGUUUGAUGUUCUAACGUGGACCCGUGAUCCGGGUUGCGGACAGUGUCUGGUGGGUAGUUUGACUGGGGCGGUCUCCUCCUAAAGAG